RNAcentral lists this ribosomal RNA (460 nucleotides) under uncultured bacterium. Its description in RNAcentral is "partial 16S ribosomal RNA". It matches the Rfam family "Bacterial small subunit ribosomal RNA", at positions 338 to 795 of the family's 1533-position model. The record is from RNAcentral.
CCUACGGGAGGCUGCAGUGAGGAAUAUUGGUCAAUGGGCGGAAGCCUGAACCAGCCAAGUAGCGUGCAUGAUGACGGCCCUACGGGUUGUAAACUGCGUUUAUACGGGAAUAACGCGCCUUACGUGUAGGGCUGUGCAUGUACCGUAUGAAUAAGGACGGGCUAAUUCCGUUCCAGCAGCCGCGGUAAUACGGAAGGUCCGGGCGUUAUCCGGAUUUAUUGGGUUUAAAGGGAGCGUAGGCGGCAUGUCAAGCGUGCUGUGAAAUGUCCGGGCUGAACCCGGGCCUUGCAGCGCAAACUGGAGUGCUUGAGUCCGCGGAAGGCAGGCGGAAUUCGUAGUGUAGCGGUGAAAUGCUUAGAUAUGACGAAGAACCCCGAUUGCGAAGGCAGCUUGCUGCAGCGGAACUGACGCUGAUGCUCGAAAGCGCGGGUAUCGAACAGGAUUAGAUACCCCUGUAGUC